GUCCUCUUGAUUAUAUUUUGAGGUCUGGUCUGCUCACUGACAAGGUUUUAAAGAGCCGCGGUAUUUUGACCGUGCAAAGGUAGCAUAAUCAUUAGUUUCUUAAUUAGGGGCUGGAAUGAAUGGCUUGACGAGAAAUCAUCUGUCUCUUAUUAAAUAAUAGAAUUUAACUUUUAAGUUAAAAGGCUUAAAUUUUUCUUUUAGACGAGAAGACCCUAUAGAGCUUAACAUUUUAUUUUUAUAUAAUUUUUGGUUAAUCUUUUUAUAUUUAAAGAUAAUGUUUUGUUGGGGUGACAUGAAUAAUAAAUAAACUUUUCAUUCUAAAAUCAUUAAUUUAUGUUUAAUAUGAUCCAUAAUUUAUGAUCAUAAGAUUAAGUUACCUUAGGGAUAACAGCGUAAUUGUUUUUGAGAGCUCAUAUUGACAAAGCAGAUUGCGACCUCGAUGUUGGAUUAAGAAUAAUUCUGGGUGCAGUAGCCCAGUAAUUAGGUCUGUUCGACCUUUAAAUUCUU
RNAcentral lists this ribosomal RNA (507 nucleotides) under Sinopodisma lofaoshana. RNAcentral describes it as "partial 16S ribosomal RNA". It matches the Rfam family "Archaeal large subunit ribosomal RNA", at positions 1921 to 2666 of the family's 2987-position model. The record is from RNAcentral. Lineage: Eukaryota; Metazoa; Arthropoda; Insecta; Orthoptera; Acrididae.